Molecule: non-coding RNA, 1144 nt
Organism: Bemisia tabaci
Lineage: Eukaryota; Metazoa; Arthropoda; Insecta; Hemiptera; Aleyrodidae
Source: RefSeq, a predicted model, not a curated record
AAAAUUCCAAUUAAACUUUGGAUUACUGCAGCCAUUCUAGUUUCCAUCAAGCACAGACACAAGCUCAAUUUAAAGUCUAAUCAUAAACCCUUUAAUGAAGAAUUAUCCCGGAAAUACAGAAAGUUACUCAAUGAGAUUGAAAAGAAAGCUAAAAACUGUCAUGUUAAGUACUUCUAUACAUUGCCACCUCAGGCAGCACUGUAGCCUAGCUGUCCGGGGAUGUCGGACUUGGCAUCUCGCAAUACAGUUUGUCAGUUUGUCAUCACACCUGCAUCCGUUGAGUAUCUCGCGUCCAAUCCUCUCAUCCCCUCAGGGGAUGACCCUAACAUGGUAUCAGGUGUAGGGUCAAGUUUCUUUUCUCUCCGUCAAUAUUAGUCGCUAACACUACCCGUGCUAAGUGAUUGUGUGUAUGCAAAUGUACAAUUUACCGUCCGUUUUCGUCCCGAACUUUCUAACCUCAAACUUCCGCGAACUGUCAGGCCGAUGUCAAGCUGAUCAAGUCGUCCCUCGUGCUAAGAAGUUGAAAUCGUCAAUCCGUCAAAUUUUUUAGUCAAGUCCACGGGUCACGGAAAGCAUAGCGUCCGAAAUGGCCCUCACCAAUUUUGUCUUUCGUCAAAUACGUCCAGUCCAGGUCAAAACUGUCCUGUGUGUCCAGCUAAACGUCUCUGAUCUUGUCUUGUCUAGUCUUGUCGUCUGAUCAAACGCUUCUAGUCAAAUUAACAGUUUGAAAUUUGAGGUUAGGGUCCCCGGUCCCCCUCCCCUUGAUGAGCCAGAACUGCCAGAAGAGAAAGAGUAAGAGAAGACCAGAGGAGAAAAGCUGAGAGAAGACCGCGCUACAACUGGUCUAAUUGACGAAUAUUAUUCUCUUUAAAAAUAAAAACAAAUUCUGUUAGAAAAAGUAAGCAUUUUUGACAUUUUGUCGGCCGAAAGAAAUUUCAUUCGAUGAAAUUUCUUUUAGCAACUCUGACUCCCACUGACUCACAAUUUUUUAAAAAUCAAUUUUUUCAAAAAAAAAAAAAAAAAAAAAAGGGAACAUGUUAUGUUAAGUACUUCUAUACAUUGCCACCUGAGGCAGCACUGUCGCCUAGCUGUCCGGGGAUGUCGGACUUGGCAUCUCGCAAUACAGUUUGUCAUCACACCUGCA